GAUGAAGAACGCAGCGAAAUGCGAUAAGUAAUGUGAAUUGCAGAAUUCAGUGAAUCAUCGAAUCUUUGAACGCACAUUGCGCCCGCCAGUAUUCUGGCGGGCAUGCCUGUUCGAGCGUCAUUUCAACCAUCAAGCCCCCGGCUUGUGUUGGGGACCUGCGGCUGCCGCAGGCCCUGAAAAGCAGUGGCGGGCUCGCUGUCACACCGAGCGUAGUAGCAUACAUCUCGCUCUGGGCGUGCUGCGGGUUCCGGCCGUUAAACCACCUUCAUAACCCAAGGUUGACCUCGGAUCAGGUAGGAAGACCCGCUGAACUUAAGCAUAUCAAUACGCGGAGGA
Molecule: unclassified non-coding RNA, 336 nt
Filed under: soil metagenome
Description: partial contains 5.8S ribosomal RNA, internal transcribed spacer 2, and large subunit ribosomal RNA
Rfam family: 5.8S ribosomal RNA (bases 1-120)
Source: RNAcentral